RNAcentral lists this ribosomal RNA (253 nucleotides) under uncultured bacterium. RNAcentral describes it as "partial 16S ribosomal RNA". It matches the Rfam family "Bacterial small subunit ribosomal RNA", at positions 524 to 776 of the family's 1533-position model. The record is from RNAcentral.
UACGUAGGGUGCGAGCGUUAAUCGGAAUUACUGGGCGUAAAGCGUGCGCAGGCGGUGCGGUAAGUCACCUGUGAAAUCUCCUGGCUCAACUGGGAGCUUGCAGGCGAAACUGCCGUGCUGGAGUGUGGGAGAGGUGCGUGGAAUUCCUGGUGUAGCGGUGAAAUGCGUAGAUAUCAGGAGGAACACCAAUUGCGAAGGCAGCUCGCUGGGACGUUACUGACGCUGAGACGCGAAAGCGUGGGGAGCAAACAGG